UACGUAGGGUGCGAGCGUUAAUCGGAAUACUGGGCGUAAAGCGUGCGCAGGCGGUGAUGUAAGACAGGUGUGAAAUCCCGGGGCUCAACCUCGGGAACUGCAUUGUGAUGCUGCAUCGCUGGAGUGCGGCAGAGGGGGAUGGAAUUCCGCGUGUAGCAGUGAAAUGCGUAGAUAUGCGGAGGAACACCGAUGGCGAAGGCAAUCCCCUGGGCCUGCACUGACGCUCAUGCGAAGACGUGGGGAGCAAACAGG
This 252-nucleotide ribosomal RNA is filed under the name uncultured bacterium. Its description in RNAcentral is "partial 16S ribosomal RNA". It matches the Rfam family "Bacterial small subunit ribosomal RNA", at positions 524 to 776 of the family's 1533-position model. The record is from RNAcentral.